Bemisia tabaci is the source of this 845-nucleotide non-coding RNA. NCBI's taxonomy places the organism in Eukaryota, Metazoa, Arthropoda, Insecta, Hemiptera, Aleyrodidae. The record is from RefSeq and is a predicted model, not a curated record.
AUUGCACCACUGGUCGAUACUACAUACUCUGGAGAGUAUCUCGGCCAAAUAUCAUGAUGAUUGGAUGAGUGAUAAGAAAAUGAUAAGCUUCCAAAGGUAAGCGCGCAGGUCGUCUUUCUGCAGUUCAUACCAGUUUCCUCAGUUAUCACAGUGAAGUGAUGUUUAUAUGUGAGGUUCGUCGCCAUUUUCGGCACAAAAGCACAGUUUUCAAAAAGGAAUCCUAAAAUUGAAGGUUUGAGAGCCUCCAACCAGACAUCACAAGUUCAAAACUCCUAAUUAAUUCAAUAAAAUAACAAAAACAGUAAUAAAAUCAUAAAAGCUGCGACUUUUACCUACUUUUUUUGGCAUACCAUUGUCUGAAUCUAUAAAAUGUGAUCAUUACCCGCAAGAAUAUUCGCCUCCUCUCGUAGCCAGUGAAAUUUUUCUUUCAAUGUAAUUUUUUGUGACUUAUUUUGAUUGCUAAAUGUGUUCAUGGUGUUAAUUAUUCAUCAAAUUUAUAUGCGAUUUAGUUGUUGUACAUUUUAAUAUACAUGAAUUUUAAAUUUGAAUAUAUUUCUUGAAUUUCGGACGAAAACUGACUCUUGCUCUUCUUGAUUAUUCGUAGGUACUUCAAAAAAAAAAAAAAAAAAAAAAAUACAAAAUACAUUACAACCUCUUUAAUUUAAAAAAACAACGGACCAGUGUCCGACACGUUCAAUGCCUUUUCUCCCUGUCCAAUAGUAUUAAGGACGCUUUUUACUUUAUUUUCAUCCUGCCAUUUCUUAUACCUCAAAAUUAUGGAAGUAGAUUCCGAAAACAGAUCUUGUUAAUUGCAUGCAGGUAUACUUCGUUCAGUUGUUCAACGU